RNAcentral lists this ribosomal RNA (1390 nucleotides) under metagenome. RNAcentral's name for it is "bacterial SSU rRNA". It matches the Rfam family "Bacterial small subunit ribosomal RNA". The record is from RNAcentral.
AGAGUUUGAUCCUGGCUCAGGACGAACGCUGGCGGCGCGCCUAACACAUGCAAGUCGAACAAGCGAGAGAGAGCUUGCUUUCUCGAGCGAGUGGCGAACGUGUGAGUAACGCGUGAGGAACCUGCCUCAAAGAGGGGGACAACAGUUGGAAACGACUGCUAAUACCGCAUAAGCCCACGACCCGGCAUCGGGUUGAGGGAAAAGGAGUGAUCCGCUUUGAGAUGGCCUCGCGUCCGAUUAGCUAGUUGGUGAGGUAACGGCCCACCAAGGUGACGAUCGGUAGCCGGACUGAGAGGUUGAACGGCCACAUUGGGACUGAGACACGGCCCAGACUCCUACGGGAGGCAGCAGUGGGGAAUAUUGCACAAUGGGGGAAACCCUGAUGCAGCGACGCCGCGUGGAGGAAGAAGGUCUUCGGAUUGUAAACUCCUGUUGUUGGGGAAGAUAAUGACGGUACCCAACAAGGAAGUGACGGCUAACUACGUGCCAGCAGCCGCGGUAAAACGUAGGUCACAAGCGUUGUCCGGAAUUACUGGGUGUAAAGGGAGCGCAGGCGGGAAGACAAGUUGGAAGUGAAAUCCAUGGGCUCAACCCAUGAACUGCUUUCAAAACUGUUUUUCUUGAGUAGUGCAGAGGUAGGCGGAAUUCCCGGUGUAGCGGUGGAAUGCGUAGAUAUCGGGAGGAACACCAGUGGCGAAGGCGGCCUACUGGGCACCAACUGACGCUGAGGCUCGAAAGUGUGGGUAGCAAACAGGAUUAGAUACCCUGGUAGUCCACACCGUAAACGAUGAUUACUAGGUGUUGGAGGAUUGACCCCUUCAGUGCCGCAGUUAACACAAUAAGUAAUCCACCUGGGGAGUGCGACCGCAAGGUUGAAACUCAAAGGAAUUGACGGGGGCCCGCACAAGCAGUGGAGUAUGUGGUUUAAUUCGACGCGACGCGAAGAACCUUACCAAGUCUUGACAUCCGUUGACCGCUGUAGAAAUACAGUUUUCCUUCGGGACAGCGAGACAGGUGGUGCAUGGUUGUCGUCAGCUCGUGUCGUGAGACGUUGGGUUAAGUCCCGCAACGAGCGCAACCCUUAUGGUCAGUUACUACGCAAGAGGACUCUGGCCAGACUGCCGUUGACAAAACGGAGGAAGGUGGGGAUGACGUCAAAUCAUCAUGCCCCUUAUGAUCUGGGCGACACACGUGCUACAAUGGCGGUCACAAAGUGAGGCGAACCCGCGAGGGGGGGCAAACCACACAAAGGCCGUCCCAGUUCGGACUGUAGUCUGCAACCCGACUACACGAAGCUGGAAUCGCUAGUAAUCGCGAAUCAGAAUGUCGCGGUGAAUACGUUCCCGGGUCUUGUACACACCGCCCGUCACACCAUGGGAGUCGGAAAUGC